Sapajus apella (tufted capuchin) is the source of this 1287-nucleotide long non-coding RNA. RefSeq lists it as uncharacterized. Lineage: Eukaryota; Metazoa; Chordata; Mammalia; Primates; Cebidae. The transcript has 3 exons. The record is from RefSeq and is a predicted model, not a curated record.
AAAAAAAUGCAAAACAGUGCUUUGAGAAAACUGUGCUGUGCUUUUAUUCCAAUGUUCAAUUUAUAGAAAAACUGAAUAAUACCCCUUACAUUUUAGCUCAUAUGUUUACAUACAGAUUUUAUUUUACAAGAUAAAAAUUUUCACAAACCUUCCACAUUUUGCUUAAACCUUCAGCUUUAUCCUACCUAACUUAAAACAAUCCUUUAACCCUCUAAACUUGGCCAAAAAUCCAUAUUCCCAUGCUUUCUUAAAACAUUUUACGAAAAGCACUUUUUACUUUCCUUACAUUUCUUGCAUACAAAAUUGUUUUGUAGUAGUCUCAAGUACAUGUUACACAGUUAACUCUUGGUGACUUUUACUUUGGAUGAAAAACCUGGUAAGACUCUAUGUACUAGAUUGCGGAGCUUAGGACACUAGAUGAAAGUGCAGAUGAGGUUUGACUCUGUCUAGCAUACCUUAAUGAGAUUUGGAUUUUUCUUGUUUGCUUUAUUAGGUUGUAUAGGACAGUUAACUGAUUUUUGAAAGUGAUGAAUUUUUUCAUUGAUAGUAUUAAUUCAUAGAAAACAUAUACAUAUGGGUUUUCCUAUGUUAGGAAAAGCAAAAUCUUUUCUUAACCCCCAAAUCCUCUUCCUGAAGGUAACAGAGAAAGAAAACAGUUUUAUUAUUGAAUAAGCAUUAAACCAGAAUGUGAUGGGCAUCACAGACAAUCCAGUAAGAGAUUACAAAGACGGAAAGGAAUCUCAUUCUUUUACAUAGCCUAAGAGAUGCAACCCAUAGCAGAAAACUCUGUAUGUCUCCAGGCCUUACCUAUUUGGUAAGGAUAUAGGUCAGCUUCUAUUCGUGCCUCCAUGACCUUGUAGUGACUCUUGCUCAGAGCAUUCUAGCAACAAAAUUAUUAUCUCCUUUCUCAGAUUCCUAUUUCCUAUGUUCUUUCACUAGAUGAGAAGCCUGUUUUUCAGUUAACUGUUGCAAGGCGGAUGAACUUCCUUCCCUUGGAAUAGAAUGUUGAAGGUCUUGAUGAGUAUUGAGAAGGGCAUGGAAGUGAUUAGAGAAAUGGAGGCCACAGGAGGAAGUGAGAGGGAUAUUCAUGGAAAGCCUUCCUAUGCUCACAAAAACAGCAGCCCUCGGAUUCAAGAGGGCAAUGUUUAUUUGUCCUUUUGAUGUAAAGUAGUAACCUGCAGAGGACUUACAGCUUGGGCUAAGAGUUCAUAAAUAGCAAAGGAAGAAUUUUCCCUCCUCCCAAAGGGGCGGUAACUCAAAAAAACCAAAAAAAACAAAGCAAGGAGA